GGAGACGUGGCCGAGUGGCUGAAGGCAACGGUUUGCUAAAUCGUCAUAGGGUCAAAAGCUCUAUCGAGGGUUCGAAUCCCUCCGUCUCCGCCA
This 93-nucleotide transfer RNA is filed under the name Alphaproteobacteria bacterium. Its description in RNAcentral is "tRNA-Ser". It matches the Rfam family "tRNA". From Rfam's summary of the family: Transfer RNA (tRNA) molecules are approximately 80 nucleotides in length. Their secondary structure includes four short double-helical elements and three loops (D, anti-codon, and T loops). Further hydrogen bonds mediate the characteristic L-shaped molecular structure. tRNAs have two regions of fundamental functional importance: the anti-codon, which is responsible for specific mRNA codon recognition, and the 3' end, to which the tRNAs corresponding amino acid is attached (by aminoacyl-tRNA synthetases). tRNAs cope with the degeneracy of the genetic code in two manners: having more than one tRNA (with a specific anti-codon) for a particular amino acid; and 'wobble' base-pairing, i.e. permitting non-standard base-pairing at the 3rd anti-codon position. The record is from RNAcentral. Lineage: Bacteria; Pseudomonadati; Pseudomonadota; Alphaproteobacteria.